UACAGAGGUCUCAAGCGUUGUUCGGAUUCAUUGGGCGUAAAGGGUGUGUAGGUGGCGCGCUAAGUCGGGUGUGAAAUUUCGAGGCUUAACUUCGAAACUGCAUUCGAUACUGCCGUGCUUGAGGACUGGAGAGGAGACUGGAAUUUACGGUGUAGCGGUGAAAUGCGUAGAUAUCGUAAGGAAGACCAGUGGCGAAGGCGGGUCUCUGGACAGUUCCUGACGCUGAGGCACGAAGGCCAGGGGAGCAAACGGG
This 253-nucleotide ribosomal RNA is filed under the name uncultured bacterium. RNAcentral describes it as "partial 16S ribosomal RNA". It matches the Rfam family "Bacterial small subunit ribosomal RNA", at positions 524 to 776 of the family's 1533-position model. The record is from RNAcentral.